RNAcentral lists this ribosomal RNA (446 nucleotides) under uncultured bacterium. RNAcentral describes it as "bacterial SSU rRNA". It matches the Rfam family "Bacterial small subunit ribosomal RNA", at positions 331 to 794 of the family's 1533-position model. The record is from RNAcentral.
CUAGACUCCUACGGGAGGCAGCAGUGGGGAAUAUUGCACAAUGGGCGAAAGCCUGAUGCAGCGACGCCGCGUGAGUGAAGAAGUAUUUCGGUAUGUAAAGCUCUAUCAGCAGGGAAGAAAAUGACGGUACCUGACUAAGAAGCCCCGGCUAACUACGUGCCAGCAGCCGCGGUAAUACGUAGGGGGCAAGCGUUAUCCGGAAUUACUGGGUGUAAAGGGUGCGUAGGUGGCAUGGUAAGUCAGAAGUGAAAGCCCGGGGCUUAACCCCGGGACUGCUUUUGAAACUGUCAUGCUGGAGUGCAGGAGAGGUAAGCGGAAUUCCUAGUGUAGCGGUGAAAUGCGUAGAUAUUAGGAGGAACACCAGUGGCGAAGGCGGCUUACUGGACUGUCACUGACACUGAUGCACGAAAGCGUGGGGAGCAAACAGGAUUAGAUACCCCAGUAAC